Molecule: long non-coding RNA, 483 nt
Filed under: Brassica rapa (field mustard)
Lineage: Eukaryota; Viridiplantae; Streptophyta; Magnoliopsida; Brassicales; Brassicaceae
Description: long non-coding RNA (BRAP_LNC005776)
Source: RNAcentral
UCGAUCCCUAAGUACUACAUCUGAACCUCUUUUGAUGAGAGUAGCACUCCUUAGGGUAAUUUGAGUGGUAUCAUUAGUGUUAAAACCGUCGAGAUGCCCGCAUCGAUCGAUGGCAGUAAUGCCUCGUUGAUCGAUGUCCUCUUUAAAGACAAAUUAUAAUUUCUAAAUUUUCUAAAUAAUGGUAAUAUACGGAAAUUACUAUUAAUUACUAGUAAUAUAAUUUAUUAAUUUUAAUUAAUGAUUUUUGAAAUUAAAUUAUUAUUAUUUUAUUAUUAUUAUUAUUAUUAUUUAUUUUUUUUUUUAUAAAAAUGGGUUGCCUCCCAUUCAGCACUUAAUUUUUAAGUCUUUAGCUCGACUUCCUGAUUAAACUAAUUAUCAGGUUCAUACAGCACCAUGGGCACUUUCGCUGGUAGUUUUGUCCAAUAAUGCUUAACUCGUUGGCCAUUCACCGUAAAUUCCUGGCCUUUCUCAUUUUGUAAGGUG